UGGGGAAUAUUGCACAAUGGGCGCAAGCCUGAUGCAGCCAUGCCGCGUGUGUGAAGAAGGCCUUCGGGUUGUAAAGCACUUUCAGCGAGGAGGAAGGUGGUGAGCUUAAUACGCUCAUCAAUUGACGUUACUCGCAGAAGAAGCACCGGCUAACUCCGUGCCAGCAGCCGCGGUAAUACGGAGGGUGCAAGCGUUAAUCGGAAUUACUGGGCGUAAAGCGCACGCAGGCGGUUUGUUAAGUCAGAUGUGAAAUCCCCGGGCUCAACCUGGGAACUGCAUUUGAAACUGGCAAGCUAGAGUCUCGUAGAGGGGGGUAGAAUUCCAGGUGUAGCGGUGAAAUGCGUAGAGAUCUGGAGGAAUACCGGUGGCGAAGGCGGCCCCCCUGGACGAAGACUGACGCUCAGGUGCGAAAAGCGUGGGGCAGCAAACAGGAUUAGAUACCCUGGUAGUCCAGCGCUGUAAACGAUGUCGAUUUGGAGGUUGUGCCCUUGAGGCGUGGCUUCCGGAGCUAACGCGUUAAAUCGACCGCCUGGGGAGUACGGCCGCAAGGUUAAAACUUAAAGGAAUUGACGGGGUC
RNAcentral lists this ribosomal RNA (577 nucleotides) under uncultured bacterium. RNAcentral's name for it is "partial 16S ribosomal RNA". It matches the Rfam family "Bacterial small subunit ribosomal RNA", at positions 355 to 920 of the family's 1533-position model. The record is from RNAcentral.